RNAcentral lists this transfer RNA (62 nucleotides) under Sergentomyia affinis vorax. RNAcentral's name for it is "tRNA-Ser". Lineage: Eukaryota; Metazoa; Arthropoda; Insecta; Diptera; Psychodidae. The record is from RNAcentral.
UAGCAAUUGUUUUGAAAACAAUAGAUAAAGAUUAUCAUCUUUAUUAACUUAUUACUAAAAAU